RNAcentral lists this ribosomal RNA (497 nucleotides) under uncultured bacterium. RNAcentral's name for it is "partial 16S ribosomal RNA". It matches the Rfam family "Bacterial small subunit ribosomal RNA", at positions 28 to 507 of the family's 1533-position model. The record is from RNAcentral.
GAUGAACGCUGGCGGCGUGCCUAAUACGUGCAAGUCGAGCGAACGGACGAGAAGCUUGCUUCUCUGAUGUUAGCGGCGGACGGGUGAGUAACACGUGGAUAACCUACCUAUAAGACUGGGAUCACUUCGGGAAACCGUAUCUAAUACCGGAUAAUAUUUUGAACCGCAUGGUUCAACAGUGAAAGACGUUCUUGCUGUCACUUAUAGAUGGAUCCGCGCUGCAUUAGCUAGUUGGUAAGGUAACGGCUUACCAAGGCAACGAUGCAUAGCCGACCUGAGAGGGUGAUCGGCCACACUGGAACUGAGACACGGUCCAGACUCCUACGGGAGGCAGCAGUAGGGAAUCUUCCGCAAUGGGCGAAAGCCUGACGGAGCAACGCCGCGUGAGUGAUGAAGGUCUUCGGAUCGUAAAACUCUGUUAUUAGGGAAGAACAGAUGUGUAAGUAACUGUGCACAUCUUGACGGUACCUAAUCAGAAAGCCACGGCUAACUACGUG